CCUACGGGUGGCAGCAGUAAGGAAUAUUGGACAAUGGGCGCAAGCCUGAUCCAGCCAUGCCGCGUGAAGGAUGAAGGCCCUAUGGGUCGUAAACUUCUUUUAUACGGGAAAAAACCCCUUGAUGCGUCGAGGGUUGAUGGUACUGUAAGAAUAAGGGUCGGCUAACUUCGUGCCAGCAGCCGCGGUAAUACGAAGGACCCGAGCGUUAUCCGGAUUUAUUGGGUUUAAAGGGUGCGUAGGCGGAUUGGUAAGUCAGUGGUGAAAGCCUCUCGCUCAACGGGAGAACUGCCAUUGAUACUGCCAGUCUUGAGUAUGGUUGAGGUGGGCGGAAUGUGUCAUGUAGCGGUGAAAUGCUUAGAUAUGACACAGAACACCGAUUGCGAAGGCAGCUCGCUAAGCCAUAACUGACGCUGAGGCACGAAAGCGUGGGGAGCAAACAGGAUUAGAUACCCCUGUAGUC
Molecule: ribosomal RNA, 460 nt
Filed under: uncultured bacterium
Lineage: Bacteria
Description: bacterial SSU rRNA
Rfam family: Bacterial small subunit ribosomal RNA
Source: RNAcentral